Oryzias latipes (Japanese medaka) is the source of this 1720-nucleotide long non-coding RNA. RefSeq lists it as uncharacterized. The record is from RefSeq and is a predicted model, not a curated record. Lineage: Eukaryota; Metazoa; Chordata; Actinopteri; Beloniformes; Adrianichthyidae.
AGUUCCUGAGGGUGGAGAAGAGAUGAAACGUUAACGAAGCUUGGACUUAAACAAGGGCACACAACGUGAGCUGGCCAGACGUAAGCACCGAGGAAGGAACAACGGACUGGCGUUGAAAACAGGUCCUGGAUCUCCUUAAGUAGGCGGGGAUGAAGAUGAGGGGAACCAGAUCCUCCCCAGCCCGACCAGCCAGACCAGGAGAGAGGGGGAGACCCCCGGACAAGGAGCGUCUCCAGCGACGGGACCCAGGCCGGGACCCACCCAGCCAGGUGCAGAGGGGGCCGCCCUACAAGGGCCCCUCUGGGACCGGGAGGCACAGGCGUUCGAUGUCCUUUCACAGACCAAAUCUCAGGUUUUCCCUGCAGGGCUGUCCGAAUCCAGGCCUUGUAGGCCGACGUCUACCAUGUUUUCCAACCAACUUACCAAUGUUGAAGCUCUUUAUUGGCUGAACGCACCUGAUCCAGGAUCUCCUCGUGGUUUCUUCCAGAACAGAACACCAGUUCAUUACUUUGGGUGUGUUUGUGUGUGUAUGUUUUCAUUGUUUCUAUAACUCCAAAGUUUAGUAGUUUUGGCUCUGUUUGCUGCUGUUUUCCUCAUAUUUAGUCAAGCAACUCUUCAUGUUUAUGACAAUUGUCUUGUUUUUUUGCACCACUAAAAUAUGUAGUUCUACGAAAAUCCUACCAAAAUCUGUUGUCUUGCUAAUUUUGAACAAGAGGUAAAUUUUGUUUUAGAAAAAUCUCACAUCGUAAGGAUUUUGCCAUUAUUUGGGAAGUCUUUAUCAGAUUAGACUCCCUUCAUGCUGACCCCUUUCUCAGUUUCUUCCUGAGUGGAUUUUGUAGAGGAAGCUUCUCUUUCUUCCAGUGUGGUGCAGCUGCCUCUUUUCCUAUAUUUUAGACAAAUUAUCUCCAGUCAUUACUGAUCUGUUUUCUAGUGCAAAAGAAUGACUAAUCAGGAGAAUCAGUAGCGGGUGGGGAGGAAAAGAAACUGAAAGGUGAGCAAUGGGAAGUCAAGACAUUUUCUGUGCACACACACACACACGGAGGGGAUGCAGAGUUUACACUGAACGAGAAAUGGAGCAAAGCCUUCGCCCAUGCGUGUCUCAGAUAUUGGCCGACUCCAACACCCUGCACCCCACCACGUUUUUAGCACCUGUUCUCAAAAGGCGGAGAAGAAUCCACAACAACAUCUGAUGCCCACAUGACUGCUGCUCAAGCUGAACUCUCAUUCUGGAGGGUAUUGGACCUCUGCCACUCUCUGUUAGAAGGAACUAAGACCCAUUUAUCUUACAAAUAUGUAAAAAGAAGGAGAGAAAAAAAAAUUAAGUCAAGCAGACCUCCCAUGCUUUUUACUGGAUUUUCAGUCCAACAUGAAUGUCUGUUUUUUGUUGGCAUCCUCCGGUUGGGAAGAAGCUGUCUGUGAUUUCAAAAAUCCACCAGUUAUCCUACAUCACUUUCCACCAACACUUGGGUAACAUGAAAGCAUGAAAAGAAUGAGUUUAUAAUUAUUUUCCUAAAGAUAAAAGGGGGAAACAUUCUAACUCUGCCUCAUCCUGCUCCUCAGGUGCAGUUCUGCACUGAGGAACUGUCAUGCAAAGGUGGUGGAUACUCAACGCCCUUAUGUCGUUUCCAGAUGUCCAGCUGAGUGAAAUCAGACCUGAGAUGGACUUACUUCAUUUAUGCUUCUCUUGAUGUAAAACUAAAUUAAAACAAAACCAAAAAGG